RNAcentral lists this ribosomal RNA (496 nucleotides) under uncultured bacterium. RNAcentral describes it as "partial 16S ribosomal RNA". It matches the Rfam family "Bacterial small subunit ribosomal RNA", at positions 29 to 507 of the family's 1533-position model. The record is from RNAcentral.
AUGCACGCUGGCGGCGUGCCUAAUACAUGCCAGUCGAGCGAACAGACGAGGAGCUUGCUCCUCUGACGUUAGCGGCGGACGGGUGAGUAACACGUGGAUAACCUACCUAUAAGACUGGGAUAACUUCGGGAAACCGGAGCUAAUACCGGAUAAUAUAUUGAACCGCAUGGUUCAAUAGUGAAAGACGGUUUUGCUGUCACUUAUAGAUGGAUCCGCGCCGCAUUAGCUAGUUGGUAAGGUAACGGCUUACCAAGGCAACGAUGCGUAGCCGACCUGAGAGGGUGAUCGGCCACACUGGAACUGAGGCACGGUCCAGACUCCUACGGGAGGCAGCAGUAGGGAAUCUUCCGCAAUGGGCGAAAGCCUGACGGAGCAACGCCGCGUGAGUGAUGAAGGUCUUCGGAUCGUAAAACUCUGUUAUUAGGGAAGAACAAAUGUGUAAGUAACUAUGCACGUCUUGACGGUACCUAAUCAGAAAGCCACGGCUAACUACGUG